CCUACGGGCGGUAGCAGUGAGGAAUAUUGGUCAAUGGACGCAAGUCUGAACCAGCCAUGCCGCGUGCAGGAAGAAGGCGCUAAGAGUUGUAAACUUCUUUUGUCCGAGGGUAAACUCAGAUACGCGUACCUGUCUGAAAGUAUCUUACGAAUAAGGAUCGGCUAACUCCGUGCCAGCAGCCGCGGUAAUACGGAGGAUUCAAGCGUUAUCCGGCUUUAUUGGGUUUAAAGGGUGCGUAGGCGGUCGGAUAAGUUAGAGGUGAAAUCCCGAGGCUCAACUUCGGCAUUGCCUCUGAUACUGUUCGUCUAGAGAGUAGUAGCGGUAGGCGGAAUGUAUGGUGUAGCGGUGAAAUGCUUAGAGA
RNAcentral lists this ribosomal RNA (361 nucleotides) under uncultured bacterium. RNAcentral describes it as "partial 16S ribosomal RNA". It matches the Rfam family "Bacterial small subunit ribosomal RNA", at positions 338 to 696 of the family's 1533-position model. The record is from RNAcentral.